Long non-coding RNA from Gallus gallus (chicken), 917 nucleotides. The record is from Ensembl. NCBI's taxonomy places the organism in Eukaryota, Metazoa, Chordata, Aves, Galliformes, Phasianidae.
AAAGAAGAGACCUUGAAAAACAGCACAGUUGUAAGAGGUGAAACGGAGACAUGCCUAAACUUAUCCCUGGCUACACAUACUCUGUGGAUUGGUUUUUUAUCAUCUAGAUCUGAGUCUGGAUGGAGUGUUCUAUAACCCAUCGCAGCUUGUAUGACUGAGUUCCCCUGGGCAUUUGUGGAAAAUAGUGAAUGUGCAAGCAUGGAGCCUGGGUGGGGCUGGGCAUCCCCUUAGAGCCUUGUAGGAGCUUAAGGCAGACAGUUGCUGAAGAGUCAUAUGGCAGGAGGAGCAUCCUGGAGCUCUACAGAGUGGUGCAAGAGAGAGUUAUGGUUCUGAAGGUUUUUCAUAAAAUCAUAGAAUCCUGAGAGUUUCUACAGAAAAGCUUACAGUUUCAUUCUGAAGGAACCUUGCAGUACUCUGUCAAAAAUUUAGGCUGUCACUGUAUCUGCUGGGUGAAGAAGUUGUAAAAGACAAAUUACCUUGGAAAUAACACACUAAAGAUGUGCAAAGAGGUCUCUUCAUCUAGCUUAUCUCUUAAGGUGCUGAUAAGAAAUUCCUUCCUCCCCACUCCCAUCCCAAACCUCAUCAUGAAUCCUCACUGAAAACAACUCUCCCAGUCUCCUGAGAGGUGAGGCAACUCCCUGCACUCCACCCUCCUUUCUGCUCCAGCACAGACUGAAAGCUGAAGGACUGAAAUACCAUAGAAGAAGGCUGCUCUUUGCACCGUCAUUGCAUCAAUCACACAGGGUUUGCAGAUGUGAUGAGUACAAGUUGCCUCAGGAGAAAGCAUGCAGAUGUCUACUUGUCUGUAGAGUGACUGAGCCUGAUAAUCUGAUCACAAGUUUGGCAUUAAUUUCAUGGCAUGGCUUCAUGGACAUUUCCUUUCCACAUGUAAGAUGGUGACUAGCAACAAGCACUAC